Cavia porcellus (domestic guinea pig) is the source of this 427-nucleotide long non-coding RNA. RefSeq lists it as uncharacterized. The record is from RefSeq and is a predicted model, not a curated record. NCBI's taxonomy places the organism in Eukaryota, Metazoa, Chordata, Mammalia, Rodentia, Caviidae. The transcript is spliced from 2 exons.
CUCGGGAGGCUGAGGCAGGAGGAUCUUUGCGAAUUUGAGACCAGUUUGAGCUACAAAGUGAGCCCAAGGCCAGCCUGAGCUGCACAGCGAGACCCUGUCUCAGAAAAACAAAGGACCAGAGUGCAGCUUGGUAGCCAGGAGCUCCCCAGUCGCAGCAGCCAAGGAUGUCCCCAGCCACGGCCCAGGAUCCCCACUCGAGACGCCCUGCUCCGGGCUCCCCAUGUUUGGCACCACAAGGUCCCCUCUCUUCUUGGGGCUCCGGCCAGGCUGACCUGCGGGAGGAGGAAGCCCCCACCUAGCCCGGCCUGCAGAGUCCCCUGAUGGCAGGACACACGGACUUUGCCCAAACCUGCCUGCAGACCCCGGAGACCACCAAGGCAGUGACCGGGCCACUGAAUGCCAAUAAAACUUUAUUUUGGACGUGCAA